GAGUUUGAUCUUGGCUCAGAUUGAACGCUGGCGGCAUGCUUUACACAUGCAAGUCGAACGGUAACAGGUCUUCGGAUGCUGACGAGUGGCGAACGGGUGAGUAAUACAUCGGAACGUGCCUAGUAGUGGGGGAUAACUACUCGAAAGAGUAGCUAAUACCGCAUGAGAUCUACGGAUGAAAGCGAGGGGACCUUCGGGCCUUGUGCUACUAGAGCGGCUGAUGGACAGUAGUUAGGUAGGUU
RNAcentral lists this ribosomal RNA (242 nucleotides) under uncultured bacterium. RNAcentral describes it as "partial 16S ribosomal RNA". It matches the Rfam family "Bacterial small subunit ribosomal RNA", at positions 9 to 255 of the family's 1533-position model. The record is from RNAcentral.